AACGAACGCUGGCGGCGUGGAUUAGGCAUGCCAAGUCGAACGAGAAUCUGGAGGUUCAAGUUUUCGGACAAGAACUUUCGGAGGAAAGUGGCGGAAGGGUGAGUACAACAUGGAUAAUCUACCUUCAAGUUGGGUAUAGCUUCCCGAAAGGGGAGAUAAUCCCGAAUGUGGUGAUCCGGCGCCUGUCGGAGAAUCCAAAGGUGGGGACCGCAAGGCCUGCCGCUUGAAGAUGAGUCCGUGCACUAUCAGCUAGUUGGUGAGGUAAUGGCUCACCAAGGCGAUGACGGUUAGCUGGUCUGAGAGGAUGGUCAGCCACACUGGGACUGAGAUACUGCCCAGACUCCUACGGGAGGCUGCAGUCGAGAAUCAUUCGCAAUGGCGCAAGCCUGACGGUGCGACGUCGCGUGGAGGAUGAAGGUCUUCGGAUUGUAAACUCCUGUCAUGUGGGAUAAAUGGCCAGGGCAUGAAUAGUGCCUUGG
This 479-nucleotide ribosomal RNA is filed under the name uncultured bacterium. RNAcentral's name for it is "bacterial SSU rRNA". It matches the Rfam family "Bacterial small subunit ribosomal RNA", at positions 29 to 475 of the family's 1533-position model. The record is from RNAcentral.